GCACAAGAUGAUCAUCGUAUACUUUACAUACGCUGGAAAUUACCGGCAGAGGCCUCUGGCCGCUGAAGAUACAAAUAGGCUGUUUUCUGACC
Molecule: small nucleolar RNA, 92 nt
Filed under: Macrophomina phaseolina MS6
Lineage: Eukaryota; Fungi; Ascomycota; Dothideomycetes; Botryosphaeriales; Botryosphaeriaceae
Description: A. fumigatus snoRNA Afu_300
Rfam family: A. fumigatus snoRNA Afu_300
Source: Rfam by way of RNAcentral